This 1859-nucleotide unclassified non-coding RNA is filed under the name uncultured fungus. RNAcentral describes it as "sequence contains 18S rRNA gene, ITS1, 5.8S rRNA gene, ITS2, 28S rRNA gene". The stretch from base 745 to 1859 matches the Rfam family "Eukaryotic large subunit ribosomal RNA", at positions 1 to 961 of the family's 3401-position model. Lineage: Eukaryota; Fungi. The record is from RNAcentral.
GGAAGGAUCAUUAACACAUACGUCCAUUUGAAGGUUGGUGCCCCCCAUUUCUUACCCCCAAAAGCUCAUAGGGUGACCUAUGAAUUUUUGAGAGAGAGAGUGGCCCAAUCUUUCAAACCCCAAUGUAAACUAGGUUGAAGUCCAUAUUCUUAUUUAAUCAAACUUUGAUUCGAAUGGAAUAGGAGUGAAACUUAAAAGUUGAUAUCACGUUCAAUGAACUACGUUGAUGCCUAAAAAACAUUGAUAGUUAGUUGAUUCGACUGAUGUUUUAACAAAAACACUAAAUAAAUAUAAACCAAGACAACUUGUAACAGUGGAUACCUUGGUUCCCAGGUCGAUGAAGAGCGCAGCGAACUGCGAUAAGUCAUGUGAAUUGCAGAAUUCCGUGAAUCAUCGAACUCUUGAACGCAAAUUGCACUUGGGUGUUGAACCCAAGUGUGCCUGCUCGAGUGUCGGCAAUAAAUCCUCAAAACUACUUGUAGUUCUGAAAGUGAGAGUUCAUUUUUAACACAAUGAUCUCUUUAAAAGGAUGGAUGGCUGAUAUCGUAAAUUGAGACACUAGUUAUAUUAUACAGUAGUGUUGAUCAGAUUACAAUAUUGGUUGGAAUAAAUUAAGAUCUUAAUUGAUCAUCUAAUCUAUUCUAAACUAGUAGUCUAAUUUAUCAUUUAUUGUUUCUAGUGACUUGAGAUUCCAGAGAUCCCAGUCUAAGUGUAGAAGUACACGAGGACAAUCUUUCAAAAUCUCGACCUCGAAUUAGGCAAGAUCACCCGGUGGACUUAAGCAUAUUAUUAACCGGAGGAAAAGAAACUAACAAGGAUGCCCUUAGUAACGGCGAGUGAAGCGGGCAAAGCUCAAAUUUAAAAUCUGGGGUCCUUAUGGGCCUCCGAAUUGUAGUUUUUGGAUCGUUAAUCACGGGGCUGCUAGCGCGGGAGUAAGUUCUUUGGAACAAGGCGUCAGAGAGGGUGAGAACCCCGUAUGCGUCCCCGCUAGUAGUUCAAUAGGUGAUUAGCUUUUCACGAGUCGGGUUGUUUGGGAUUGCAGCCCUAAAUAGGUGGUAGAUCUCAUCUAAAGCUAAAUAUUCCUGGGAGACCGAUAGCGAAGAAGUAGUGUGAACGAAAGGUGAAAAGAACUUUGAAAAGAAGGUGAAAAGUACUUGAAGCUGUUCCAAGGGAACCGUAGAUGAGCAGUGACUGCUUGCUGACAAUUCAGCGUGCUUCAAAUCCACGUGUUGGCUACCUGGAGAUGUAUGUCCCAGAGUACUGAGCGUAGGGUAUGCGGCGCGUGUACUUUGUUAGUGAGCGAGUCAACAUCAGUUUGGUUCGUGCCGGAGAAAGACAGGGAGAAGGUAGGCUGACCUCUCGGGGUCAUCUGUUUAUAGCUCCUUGUUGCAUACGGUGCGCUGGACUGAGGAAGCAAAACGUACGCCUCGGCGAGGUAGUUAGCGGACCCACGGUUGUGACUUGAGUACGUCUGCUUGCAGGGUGCUUGAUCGAUAACUGUGGCGAAGUUGACCCAUCUGUACGUUAGGGAUGUUGACGAAAUGCUCUUCUAUGACCCGUCUUGAAACACGGACCAAGGAGUCUAACAUGUAUGCGAGUAUUUGGGUGGAAAACCCGAGUGCGCAACGAAAGUGAGAGAUGCGAGUUCGUAAGGAUGCAGCAUCGGCCAACUGUUCUUAGGAGCGGAUUGCGCCGGAGCACACAUGAUGGGACCCGAAAGAUGGUGAACUUUGCGUGCGCAGGGUGAAGCCAGAGGAAACUCUGGUGGAGGCUCGUAGAGAUACUGACGUGCAAAUCGUUCUUCUGACGUGCGUAAAGGGGCGAAAGACUAAUCGAACCAUCUAGUAGCUGGUUUACAC